This 386-nucleotide small RNA is filed under the name Vibrio chagasii. RNAcentral's name for it is "cspA". It matches the Rfam family "cspA thermoregulator". The record is from RNAcentral. Lineage: Bacteria; Pseudomonadati; Pseudomonadota; Gammaproteobacteria; Vibrionales; Vibrionaceae.
UGAUUCACAAAUUAAGUAAGAUGCAUGUUAGUAAAAGUUCUACAGCUCGUUUUUCCUUAACUGAUAUCAAGCAACAUUUGACCUUUUGGUCAGCAAACAAUCAAUUUUAAAAUAAGGGACAUAUUAUGUCUAACGUAACUGGUACAGUUAAGUGGUUCAACGAAGCUAAAGGUUUCGGUUUCAUUACUCAAGAUAACGGUGGCGCUGAUGUAUUCGUACAUUUCCGUGCUAUCGCAUCUGAAGGCUUCAAAACUCUGCAAGAAGGUCAAAAAGUUACCUUCACUGUAGAAGAAGGCCAGAAAGGUCUUCAAGCUGCGAAUGUUGUUCCAGCUUAAUUAGUAACAAAUUGAUAUGAGCGCGCAGGGCUUAAUGCUUUGCGCGCUUUU